GCUUGCUACACCUGUCGGAUUUGUAAGCGGAGAUCUUUAUUCUGGUGGCAAUCUGAAAACCUGCAGUGUAAAAUGGUCCCUUGCUGGGUUUACAGGUAUCAGGAAAUCAAGGCUGAUCUGCUUUGCCCAUGAACAUUGCACCCCUUCUGAGCUUCUGCAGCAAGCAUGCAUUGUCUCACAUGCAACACGUUUGCCGGGCAGUAGAGCUGACUGGCGUGUGCACAUAGGAGCCGUCACCUCUCUUGUGUGGGAAUGGUUCCCUGCGUACGGGUCAGCAGCUCAUGUACGGUGUUUCCAGUGUGGGGCAUGCCAGGCUGCUUUGUGCCUCCACACUGCUGAUGAGACAGCACAAGGCCUAACAAACAAGUUAAAGGGAGAUAAGGAACUGCAGGAAUUUCUCAUGCUUCCUGGUAAACAGAGAGAAAAGAUGCAUGGCUUGUUCCUCAGAGUUUCUCUGGACUCUUUUCAGGAGCAUAUUUCUUGAGAGUUGACCUCGUCCUACUAUUGAAAUGCCCUCAGAAAGAGAAAUAUGGCAUGAUUUACUCUUGACAUCUUAGCCUGCAUGGACUCUUUGGUCAACCUUAACUUCAGCAUUAAUCAGAGAAAAGAAAGGAAAACUGUGAUUCUAACGCACCCAUACAUAAACCAAGAAGGACUCAAUUAACAAAGUAUUAGGAGAACCUCUGAUUGGGCUCCUUGCAAAAUGAGAGGAAUAUCAUGGAUAUGGGACUUCUCACAACAUCUUAAUCCCCAUAAUUAUACCCACCUAUCUAUAUGGCCUCUUUGUGUAACAAAUAAUAAUGGGAGAGAAACUGCAAGAAAGGUACAUUCUUUACCACUCAGUUAAUUGACUUAGGAUUCCUCUGUGUUUAGUUUUUGAGAAAAGUCUUCUCAUAGAUGAAGUUAACAGGGUCCUUGCUAAAGAGGCAUGGACUUUUCUGGUAUUCAGUGAAUGAUAGAAGAGAUUCUGUCAUCAUCUUGCAGCUGUGUCCUUGCUCACCUAUCUCUGUUCUUAUCACUGCAGCAUGAUGGUACUGCGUUAGCUGCAGAGGUUUGGAAUGAGGUGUUAAAGUGCGUUGCAUGACACAAGUUAGGCACUCAACGAGAUGGCCAGUAUGGAUGUGACACAAAAGGACCGCAGCAAAAUUGUGUCCACUCCAGCAUGGACAAAGCUGUUGAGGCAGGUAGGAUUGGAGCUGAAGCUGAAAGCUUCUUUAUGGUCUCAGGUGCAGAGGAGUAAGUCUGUAGUUAAAGCCGAUUUUAGGAGCUGAGGCGUGCUUACUUUGUACUUUCAGGAUAGAAGGAUAUGGAGAAAAGGAUAUGACUUUAAGCACAUCACAUUUUUGAUGUACCUCCUUUUUGAGUAUCAAAACACAAGCAGCUCUUGGACACACAGCAGUCCCUGCUUCAUCUAAGUCAAGCUGGUCUCCAGAAAAAAUAGUGAGGCCUCUGGAAACAGCCACUCCAGAUCACUUCUGCAGGUAAUUUUUAGGAGGAAGGAAUGUGAUCACCAGAAGUUGGGAGCAAAGAAUUCAUCAUUUUUGAUCCACCAGCUCUCCUGCUGGUGAAAUUUGAGCUAUGCUUAAAUGAAUUGCUCUCCUUGUGGUAAGUCUCUGUGAGACAGUACUCUUCCAAUGAAAGGAGCUUCAAAAAAUGUACAAGCAGAUCACAGAAUAAGCACAGGAUGUAGGUAGUUCCCCAAGUUCUCCACUUUUUUGAAACUUCUGUGACCCAUCCCUUGUAAACUUGGCACCUUCCCGUGUAAUUGCAUCAUAGCUAGGUCACUGAGGGCUGUAUUAUGACAGGCCUUAAAGGACAACGUGGUGCUGGCUGAGAAGGCUUAAAUAAUCCGUUUUCUCAUCUGUUGUUCAGCAAGAGAGAUUGCAGAGGACACUGUUAAAAAACUGUUUGAAUGCUGUGUGAGAAUAUAUCAUCAGGUGUAUUAUAUAUACCUGCUGGGGUCCUGGGACCAGCUGUCUCUGCUGAGGGCAGGCAGUCCUGGAAGAUACGAUUUUGACUCACACUUCUCUUGGCCACAAACAUCACCAAAAGGCAAGCUUCUAAAUUAAGCACUGGUAAUAGCGGGCUUGAAAAUGGACUUUCACUGCUGAGCUAUGCAGCUGGGCUGCAGAGAAGAGAGACACACGUUUUCCAGAAGCCAAUCAGACUGGACUCCUGCAUGAAGGCUGCCUUGAGAAGUUCCCUGGCAUAUUCAUACGGCUUCUGGUGUCCAGGUGAAGCUCUUCCCCCUAAUGUCAUUAUCUUUGUAUCAAUACAGUGUAUACUUACAAUGUAAUUUGCUGAACAAAAAAAA
This is a long non-coding RNA of Numida meleagris (helmeted guineafowl), 2314 nucleotides long. RefSeq lists it as uncharacterized. The transcript has 2 exons. The record is from RefSeq and is a predicted model, not a curated record. Lineage: Eukaryota; Metazoa; Chordata; Aves; Galliformes; Numididae.